GGGCCGAUAGCUCAAUUGGCUAGAGCGUCGCAAUGGCAUUGCGAAGGUUGUGGGUUCAAAUCCCAUUCGGUCCACCA
RNAcentral lists this transfer RNA (77 nucleotides) under Candidatus Roizmanbacteria bacterium CG_4_10_14_0_8_um_filter_36_36. Its description in RNAcentral is "tRNA-Ala". It matches the Rfam family "tRNA". From Rfam's summary of the family: Transfer RNA (tRNA) molecules are approximately 80 nucleotides in length. Their secondary structure includes four short double-helical elements and three loops (D, anti-codon, and T loops). The record is from RNAcentral. Lineage: Bacteria; Candidatus Roizmaniibacteriota. RNAcentral also lists the same sequence under 5 other names.